UCCAAUAGACAAAAACAUGGUAGGCGACAUCUAAUGUAUGUAUCUAUGACUGAAGCUAAGCAGGGCUGAGCCUCAUCAGUACUUGGAUGGGAGACCACAUGGGAAAACUAGGUUGCUGUUGGAU
Danio rerio (zebrafish) is the source of this 124-nucleotide ribosomal RNA. Lineage: Eukaryota; Metazoa; Chordata; Actinopteri; Cypriniformes; Danionidae. The record is from Ensembl.